Ictidomys tridecemlineatus (thirteen-lined ground squirrel) is the source of this 1215-nucleotide non-coding RNA. Lineage: Eukaryota; Metazoa; Chordata; Mammalia; Rodentia; Sciuridae. The record is from RefSeq and is a predicted model, not a curated record.
AAAUUCCUAGAAGAUAUAAUGAAAUUGUUUCAAGGAUAAAGAAGGAAAAAAGCAAGUUGUUUCUUUUUUCCCACAUUAAUUGUGGGCAUAUACACUGUACUCAGUCAUCAUAACUAAAGAAUCAAGGCUCAGAUUUCCAUGCUAAGAAAGAUAACAAGUUCAGAAAGUAUCAAGAGAGUUUUACUGACUGCUGCUUUGGGCAGAAGACAAGGGUCUGGAUAUCUGAAUUCAUUCACUCAAAUAAAAUGCAUCGAGUUUUGGCUGUAUGUCAAGUACUGCAUUAGGUACUACAGAUACAAAGAUGAAAAAAAACACAGUCCCUGAUCCCAAGGGAGUCCAGAGCUUUGAAUGUGGACCACUAAGAUGCAAUUUGGGAAUAGAAACUCUGGGGGCUAUGUCUUACUGGUCCAUUCUCAGCACCUAGCCCUGAGCCUCACACAUACAGGCAUUCAACAAAUGUUCCUGAGUGAAAGAAAGAAGCAUAUUAUUUCAGAACAGAAGACAGAGCAUUUGGAGACAUACAGUUGAUUGUAAAAUAGCAAGAAAGCAAGAGUGGAGAUGAAACACAUUUAUAAAAAAACAAAACAGGAGGACACAGGAUCAAAGCUGGGUAAAAAUAAAGAGCAAAGCCAAAUGUUACAGGCUUGGAUAUUGGUACACAGAUGAGAAACUUGAUUAAGUGACAAAAUCAGCAAAGAAUAAGUUUAAGAUUGUUUUGGAGAAAAAAAGCAAAUCCAAGUAAAAAAAUUACAGAGUUCCUCAGUUAAAGACUAAUGUCUCAUCCAGAAGAAAAGAUUUUAAAACAGAAGGCUGUACAAGAUUUUAAAACAGAGAUUUUUAUCGGUUUCAUCACAACCCUCCCUUUCAAGAAUCUUCUUCCUGUUCUGCAAAUCUAUUUGUAAGGUGAGGCUACUUUAAAAAAGCAUGUAUUUAGGAAGCAACAGCAGUGGCCACAAUAGGGACUUUGAGCUGUCACUAUUGGAGAGAGAGCCCCUACUCUCAGUACAGAGGUCCCAAGUAUCCCUGAGCUGUGUUCCAAAUUUACAGUGUCCCCCGCUCCUGCUUUAAAAGUUUAUUUUAGUCUAAAGAUUUAAAAUCAACACCCAGAUCUAUUUCUUCUCAAAUGCCAACCAAAAUCAGGCUAAAAUGUUGUGGGAUUAUCAAAGGUACUUGUAAGUUGAAAACAGAAUAAAAGCAAGAUCUAAGUGAUUUAAA